GACGAACCGUGCGAACGUUGUUCGGAAUCACUGGGCUUAAAGGGCGCGUAGGCGGGUCCGUAAGUCUGUGGUGAAAGCCCCCGGCUCAACCGGGGAAGUGCCGCGGAUACUGCGGGCCUCGAGGGGGGUAGGGGCGUGUGGAACUUCCGGUGGAGCGGUGAAAUGCGUAGAUAUCGGAAGGAACGCCGGUGGCGAAAGCGACGCGCUGGACCCCUUCUGACGCUGAGGCGCGAAAGCCAGGGGAGCAAACGGG
RNAcentral lists this ribosomal RNA (253 nucleotides) under uncultured bacterium. RNAcentral's name for it is "partial 16S ribosomal RNA". It matches the Rfam family "Bacterial small subunit ribosomal RNA", at positions 524 to 776 of the family's 1533-position model. The record is from RNAcentral.